This 480-nucleotide ribosomal RNA is filed under the name uncultured Caulobacter sp. RNAcentral describes it as "bacterial SSU rRNA". It matches the Rfam family "Bacterial small subunit ribosomal RNA", at positions 1 to 524 of the family's 1533-position model. The record is from RNAcentral. Lineage: Bacteria; Pseudomonadati; Pseudomonadota; Alphaproteobacteria; Caulobacterales; Caulobacteraceae.
UAGAGACGAGAGAGUUUGAUCAUGGCUCAGAGCGAACGCUGGCGGCAGGCCUAACACAUGCAAGUCGAACGGAUCCUUCGGGAUUAGUGGCGGACGGGUGAGUAACACGUGGGAACGUGCCCUUUGGUUCGGAACAACUCAGGGAAACUUGAGCUAAUACCGGAUAAGCCUUUCGAGGGAAAGAUUUAUCGCCAUUGGAGCGGCCCGCGUAGGAUUAGCUAGUUGGUGGGGUAAAGGCCCGCCAAGGCUACGAUCCUUAGCUGGUCUGAGAGGAUGAUCAGCCACAUUGGGACUGAGACACGGCCCAAACUCCUACGGGAGGCAGCAGUGGGGAAUCUUGCGCAAUGGGCGAAAGCCUGACGCAGCCAUGCCGCGUGAAUGAUGAAGGUCUUAGGAUUGUAAAAUUCUUUCACCGGGGACGAUAAUGACGGUACCCGGAGAAGAAGCCCCGGCUAACUUCGUGCCAGCCGCCGCGGUAAU